UACGUAGGGUGCAAGCGUUAAUCGGAAUUACUGGGCGUAAAGCGUGCGCAGGCGGUUUUGCAAGACAGAUGUGAAAUCCCCGGGCUCAACCUGGGAACUGCAUUUGUGACUGCAUGGCUAGAGUACGGUAGAGGGGGAUGGAAUUCCGCGUGUAGCAGUGAAAUGCGUAGAUAUGCGGAGGAACACCGAUGGCGAAGGCAAUCCCCUGGACCUGUACUGACGCUCAUGCACGAAAGCGUGGGGAGCAAACAGG
Molecule: ribosomal RNA, 253 nt
Filed under: uncultured bacterium
Lineage: Bacteria
Description: partial 16S ribosomal RNA
Rfam family: Bacterial small subunit ribosomal RNA
Source: RNAcentral